ACCCGCUGAACUUAAGCAUAUCAAUAAGCGGAGGAAAAGAAACCAACAGGGAUUGCCCUAGUAACGGCGAGUGAAGCGGCAACAGCUCAAAUUUGAAAUCUGGCUCUUUUAGAGUCCGAGUUGUAAUUUGCAGAGGGCGCUUUGGCUUUGGCAGCGGUCCAAGUUCCUUGGAACAGGACGUCACAGAGGGUGAGAAUCCCGUACGUGGUCGCUGGCUAUUGCCGUGUAAAGCCCCUUCGACGAGUCGAGUUGUUUGGGAAUGCAGCUCUAAAUGGGAGGUACAUUUCUUCUAAAGCUAAAUAUUGGCCAGAGACCGACAGCGCACAAGUAGAGUGAUCGAAAGAUGAAAAGCACUUUGGAAAGAGAGUCAAACAGCACGUGAAAUUGUUGAAAGGGAAGCGCUUGCAGCCAGACUUGCUUACAGUUGCUCAUCCGGGCUUUUGCCCGGUGCACUCUUCUGUAGGCAGGCCAGCAUCAGUUUGGGCGGUAGGAUAAAGGUCUCUGUCACGUACCUCUCUUCGGGGAGGCCUUAUAGGGGAGACGACAUACUACCAGCCUGGACUGAGGUCCGCGCAUCUGCUAGGAUGCUGGCGUAAUGGCUGU
RNAcentral lists this ribosomal RNA (603 nucleotides) under uncultured fungus. Its description in RNAcentral is "eukaryotic LSU rRNA". It matches the Rfam family "Eukaryotic large subunit ribosomal RNA", at positions 23 to 641 of the family's 3401-position model. The record is from RNAcentral. Lineage: Eukaryota; Fungi.